ACAAGCAAAGGAAACUGUUGUAAUGUCAGACGAGAUUAAUGAAAUUAUGAUCAAAGAUGAUAAGAGAUGACUGCAGAUGGUAGAGACUGAAAUGAAUACACAAGCAGGAAAAAAACCUCUCAUCUCCUGGAGAUCAGUCUGAUAAAAGACUGGGGAAAAAGCAGGGAAAGGAACUUUUUCUUUUUUUCUUUAAACAGGAAUGAAGCAUGGCCAACUGGAAACGAGGAUGGAAUAUGAUUUAAUGAAGAUAUAACAGGCAAAUAAGUUGCCAGACUUCUCUGCCAGUGGCCGAGGCGGCAGGACAGGCUUCACCCCCCCCCCACCUCAGGGCUAGGCUGGGCCUGUCUACCAAACAUGGAGAUGCUAGCAGCUUGGAAGAAGCCAGAGUCCGGCUUUCUUGCAGUUGGGCUGAAGGCUCAAAGGUGGUUUGUGACCUCUGACAUCAAGUCCCCCAGAAGCAGUGCCCUUUGGUGCCUCAGAGACGGAGAGCCAUCUGAUGGAGCAAUUUAUUGUUUCUGGUCUUUCUCAAGUCAAGCACAAACAUGGUAUUUCCAUCUCCUGCUGUUUACCUCUGAGACUGAUGCCUGAUAUUCCAAAGUGCAUGUCUACUCUGCAUAAAGCAGGGGGGUGAGGCCUCCCAAGCAACUUCUCCUGCUCCUACAAGACUUCACUGAUUUUGUUCACACUGGCAAAAUGAUAAAAAUUCCUGGCAUGUACUGUAGCUUCCCGCUUUAGUCUCUCUUUCGAAAACACUUUCUAAAUGCACAUACAUAUCUACAUAUCAUUGUUUAAAAUGUUUUUAUAUAUGUAACUGUUUUAUAUACAUUUUUAUUAUAUCCUGAACUGCUUCAGGAGCCUCAUGGGAAGCAAUCCCUAAAUGAAAAUUAAUUAAAUAAAUAUGCAUAAGAAUAAUAAAGGUUUUGGUUCCCAGGA
Non-coding RNA from Podarcis muralis (Common wall lizard), 933 nucleotides. NCBI's taxonomy places the organism in Eukaryota, Metazoa, Chordata, Lepidosauria, Squamata, Lacertidae. The record is from RefSeq and is a predicted model, not a curated record.